This is a non-coding RNA of Rhinopithecus roxellana (golden snub-nosed monkey), 1163 nucleotides long. The record is from the annotation of a RefSeq genome assembly. Lineage: Eukaryota; Metazoa; Chordata; Mammalia; Primates; Cercopithecidae.
GGGUCCAAUCUGCUGAAGAAAAUGGCUUUAGGGAAACCCAGUUGUAGAUCUGAGGGCCCCUGCUCUUCAGGGGGCCAUCUCCCUCCCGGGGCCUUAUAUCAGCAAGUGGUGCACACAAGCAAAUGCCAGGGCGUGGUUUCCUGUUUAAAUGUAGCCUCCCCCGCUGCAGAACUGCAGAGCCUGCUGAAUUCCAGCUAACCAGGGCAGUCAACAGAGCUCCAGACAAUGUCUGUCUCCUUCCUCAUCGUCCUCCCCGUGCUGGGCCUCCCAUGGGGUGUCCUGUCACAGGAGCAGCUGCAGGAGUCAGGUCCAGGACUGGUGAAGCCCUCACAGACCCUGUCACUCACCUGUGCCAUCUCCGGGGACAGUGUCUCUAGCAACAGUGCUGCUUGGAACUGGAUCAGGCAGUCGCCAUCAAGAGGCCUUGAGUGGCUGGGAAGGACAUACUACAGGUCCAAGUGAUAUAAUGAUUAUGCACUAUCUGUGCAAAGUCGAAUAACCAUCAACCCAGACACAUCCAAGAACCAGUUCUCCCUGCAGCUGAGCUCUGUGACCCCCGAGGACACGGCCGUGUAUUACUGUGCAAGAGACACAGUGAGGGGAAGUCAGCGUGAGCCCAGACACAAACCUCCCUGCAGAGAGGCUCAGGACCCCAGAGGGCACCCAGCACUGCCAGCCCAGGGCCCAGACCAGGAGCAGGUAUGGAGUUAAGCAAAAAUGGAACUUCCUGCUGUGUCUUAAAUUGUUUUUUCAGCUCAGCAACAGAGAUCAUAGAAAACCCUUUUCCAUAUUUUUGAAAUCUGUUCUUAGUCUAAUGCAGAUUCCCUUAUAUGUGACUUAAUGCUUUUCUCUUGCUGUUUUUGGAAUUCUUUCUCUUUGACUUUUGACAAUUGGACUUUUGAUAGCCUGCCUCAGAGAGGUUCUAUUUCAGGUCAUUUGAGCCUCCUGGAUCUGGAUGCCCCUAUCUCUCCAAAGACAGAAAGUUUUCAGCUAUUAUUUCAUUAAAUGUGUUUUCUACACCAUUUCCCUUCUCUUUUGGAAUACCUGUAAUGCAAAUAUUUGUCCACUUAAUUGUGUCCCGUAAAUCCUGGGGAUUUUCUUCAUUCCUUUUUACUCUUUUUUCUCUUUUUAUUCAUCUGCCUGAACUAUUUCAUAAGAUCUGU